CCAAAUGAUGAGAGUAAUUUGCGAUUGAUCCCACUAGGUGGCUCCCUCGCCGGGGAUGCUAUAUCUAGUGGUUAAGUGAUAUUUCUUUCUUACAUAUUCUGAAC
Molecule: small nucleolar RNA, 104 nt
Filed under: Coniochaeta ligniaria NRRL 30616
Lineage: Eukaryota; Fungi; Ascomycota; Sordariomycetes; Coniochaetales; Coniochaetaceae
Description: A. fumigatus snoRNA Afu_514
Rfam family: A. fumigatus snoRNA Afu_514
Source: Rfam by way of RNAcentral